This 30-nucleotide ribosomal RNA is filed under the name Orius sp. MS-Taif. Its description in RNAcentral is "partial 5.8S ribosomal RNA". The record is from RNAcentral. Lineage: Eukaryota; Metazoa; Arthropoda; Insecta; Hemiptera; Anthocoridae.
ACCCUCUGAAGCGGCGGAUCCUCUUCGGCU